Molecule: ribosomal RNA, 492 nt
Filed under: uncultured bacterium
Lineage: Bacteria
Description: partial 16S ribosomal RNA
Rfam family: Bacterial small subunit ribosomal RNA
Source: RNAcentral
AGUGAACGCUGGCGGUAGGCCUAACACAUGCAAGUCGAACGGCAGCACAGUAAGAGCUUGCUCUUACGGGUGGCGAGUGGCGGACGGGUGAGGAAUACAUCGGAAUCUACUUUUUCGUGGGGGAUAACGUAGGGAAACUUACGCUAAUACCGCAUACGGCCUACGGGUGAAAGCAGGGGGUCUUCGGACCUUGCGCGAUUGAAUGAGCCGAUGUCGGAUUAGCUAGUUGGCGGGGUAAAGGCCCACCAAGGCGACGAUCCGUAGCUGGUCUGAGAGGAUGAUCAGCCACACUGGAACUGAGACACGGUCCAGACUCCUACGGGAGGCAGCAGUGGGGAAUAUUGGACAAUGGGCGCAAGCCUGAUCCAGCCAUACCGCGUGGGUGAAGAAGGCCUUCGGGUUGUAAAGCCCUUUUGUUGGGAAAGAAAAGCAGCAGGUUAAUACCCCGCUGUUCUGACGGUACCCAAAGAAUAAGCACCGGCUAACUUCGUG